AAACAACUGCAAUGAAGAGGGACAGUGUGAUGAUAAGGCAAGUGCAGGAUAAUUCAUUCAUAUCUUCAUCAAAAAAUUAUUAAGUGCUUACUGUGCGCCAGGCACUGUCCACGUGUCCUGACAUCACAGUAGAAAACAGACAAAGCCUGCGCCCCGGGGCUCACGCUGCUGCACGGGCGCCAGGCAACAAGCAUCGCAAAUAAGUGAAUGAUCGGCAGGGCAUUAGGAGGCAGGAACGGUGGGGAAAAGGGAAGAUGGAGCUGGGGACGGGGCCGGGACCGCGGAGGUCGUGAGGGAGCCGCUGCGAAGGGGCGGUCGAGCGGGACCUGCAGGAGGGGGCCCCACGCGGACAUCGGGCGGGGGGGGGGGGCGGGGGGCGUCUCAGGCGGGUGUCUGCCCGGUGGGCUCACGGACCCCGAGGCCGGUGAGGGAGUGAGGGGCCGCUGCGGAGAGUCAUCCCGGACCGGGCUUCUCGCCCUGCGGCCUGGGGCGCUUCCUGGAGGAAGAGGGCGUCGAGGGAAGACGCGGAGGCGACUCUGGGUGGGCUGGACCGCGGGCCGCGAAGCUCGAAGCCAAACCCGCAGAUUCAGCGGUCUCUUCCUGAGCGCCGACUCCACAGCCGGGCACGUGCUGGGUGUAAAAAUAAAUUAACAGGGUCCGUGUGGCUCACAGGUGCCUUUCCCGAAACACCCGGAGGUCACCGACCAUCGCACAGUCAGAUCGGGCGCCUCUUUCAGGGGACGGUGCUAGCAGGGGUGAGGCCGGCCUCCAAGGCCGAAUCAGCGAAGACCGGGUUUUGCAGGGCUCGCCCCGACUCGCCCUCCCCGGCCGGCCCCUCGGAAGCAGACGGGCCUGGCCUGGCUGCCACGACGCCCCGGAGCGCCCGCUGCGACCCGGCCGCGCACCCCGCGCUUGCAGAGGAGGCCCCUGCGCCCAGAAAACAACGUUCGCGGUGUUUACCUUGAUUUUGCCUUCAUUAAUCUUAUUAAGUUUCUGCAAAGCUUGUUCCGUGAGUGCCCAAUGGGCAUGUUUUCUUUACCAAAGUUCACGGCUCUAUGUUCAAACCACUAAUUUCCACGGCUUCACUCCAGUGCUUUAGUGCUCCUCAGGCCCUCCAGGAAUGAGCUCAAUUAUCAACCCCGAGUGAAUCUGAAACCCGACUCAGUCUUCGCAUGAUCUGAUGAAAGCAGCGGAGUUUUAUAAAUGUCACUAGAGAAAUUGUUGAAGCUGGGCUGCUAGAGGCCGGCCAGGCCAUCGCUUCCUCCUGCGGACUUGUGGCUCAUUAUCUUUCAAAUAUUUGAAGCAGAUCAGUGGUCAUUGUGGGUCUUAGGGUUUAAGAUUUUACCCUGAAAAGCAUUCCUUGUAAUACUUGGCAUGCACAUUCAAAAAAAAAAAAAAAAAUCAUGUCAAGAGACUGGCAGUUUUUAAAUUAAUUAUUUGAGCUUGAACAAUUCAAAAGUGUCAUCAAAUUAAAACAAGGUAAUUUGGCAGAGAGGUCAUUGCCCAUCAUGUCUUCUAAUUGCUUUUCUGUAUUUUGAAAAAACAAAAACAAAAGGUUAAAUGCUGAGAUAAUGAACUUUGAGCACAGCGUUCCACAGCAGCCCCACUGGUGAUGGAAAACAGCGCUGGUUUCCAAACAGACCCGUCAGAUCCGGCCCAGAAGGAUCUGUUUCAGGAAGUGGCAGGUCUGAGACGCCAUCUCCUUAGAACACCUGCACAGCACAGCCGCAGACUGCAGAGCUGGCCAUGGAGCAAGGAGAAGAAAAAGGGAAACACAAAGGAAACGAGUCUCGGAGAGGUGGUGAGCCAAAUGAUGAAGGCAGAGAACAAGAGCCACCAGCUCCAGCUGGACUUUGCGAUGCUUCCCUGAAGCACGAGCCACAGCAGGACAGUCUCUGAGACCCUAGACGCACCUCUUCUCUGAGUUUGUGGUGAAGCUCAGUGUUCCCCAAGUGCUGCAGCCUCUGCCGCGGUCCACAGCCCGGGUGUCUGAUGUCCUCAGGAGCACUGGAGGCAGAGCUUUUCCAGGAGCGCAUCUUGGACUAGCUGUCUCCAAGUUUUCAACUCAAGUGUCUCCCCCAUGAGGUGACAUAGUGCCGCUCUGUGCUGCUUUCCCAGGACCUGGUGCAGCACCCGGCAUGUACUGGGACCCCAGUCAGUGUGAUCCCAGCGAAGUUGCGAAGGAAUGAGCACGAGGAGAAUAACACGGCUGUUACCCACGAGGGCAUUCGUCCUAUUGUCUGCACGAACACACACACACACACAGCUUGAACCCAUGAAUGAUUGUAAUAAAAUGUAAUCACAUCCGAAUGAAAGGAGAGUUAAGCA
This is a long non-coding RNA of Equus caballus (horse), 2328 nucleotides long. Lineage: Eukaryota; Metazoa; Chordata; Mammalia; Perissodactyla; Equidae. The record is from Ensembl.